This 3543-nucleotide long non-coding RNA is filed under the name Brassica napus (rape). RNAcentral describes it as "long non-coding RNA (BNAP_LNC005669)". The record is from RNAcentral. Lineage: Eukaryota; Viridiplantae; Streptophyta; Magnoliopsida; Brassicales; Brassicaceae.
AAGAGGAGUUUAAGAAAACAAUGGCGGAGAUAUUGGGAAGUAUAAUGUUGCAGCUUGAGGGUAGUCCCAUAUCGGUCUCCUCUAACUCAGUGGUUCACGAGCCGCUCACCUCCGCCACCUUCCUGCCGGCGCCUCCGGCUGAAGCAGAUGAGCCUUCUAAUUAACUAGAGUCGUUUUAAGUGGGGAGAAACAAGAACAAAAAUGGUUACGGUUAUGAGUUUUUACCCCCCUUUGAGUAUUUAAAUAUUUGAGGAAAACCAGCUUACUUUGGGAUGUGUAAGAAAAAAAAAAGCCUCUCUUCAUUUCUUUCGGAUGAUAAAAGAGAAAUGGGCGUUUUUAGUACUGAAUACAUUCAAAGAUUGUGGUUUCAUCGUAUGGGAGUGGUGAUUAUGCUCAUGUGGCUUUGUCUUUAUUUUCAUCAUGGAAUGCAAUGUUUUAGUAUGUUUUUUUUAAUUUUAUUUUCUGUCUUGAAUCAUGCAUCUUAAUUACGUUGACUCUGUCAUGGGUAGCGGGCAAUAAUCUUUUACUCUUGAGUUUUUAUAAUUACCAGACGACUUACACUUCAGUCGUCCAGACGACUUACACUUCAGUCGUCCAGACGACUUCCAACAUCUCAGACGACUCAGACGAUUUACUGGGGCUAUAUUCGUAAAAAUGGCUUCUGUUUUUUUGUUUGGUCACAAGGGGCUGAGCUGUAAUUUCACUAGGCUUUUAGGUUAGUUUUGCAUUUGAUUCAAAUUUGGGUAUAGGUUUGGAAUUAAAAUCAAGUUGUGGGUUAGUUUUGGCAAAAACCCCUUUCUUUAUUGUCUUGGAAUUGUCCUACUUAUUACGUAGACUAUUAUAUUACUGACAAAAAGUUUAAAUGGAAUCUCAGAAUUUUACUAUAGUUGUAUAAGUUAUCUUCUUGAUAUAUGUGUAGGGUUUGGUGGUUACAUUUUAUUUUAUUUUUGCGUUGAGUGAUAGGUGAAAAAAUAAAUUAAAGCAGAUGUUUUAAUAAUGGUAAAUAACUUUGGUCGGUGACCUUAUCCUAGAUCAUAUCUCAAGUUAGCCCCUCGUGUCGCUCUCUUCGCUGCCGUCUCAUGCUAGGAACAUCGCUUUUUGAAUCCUCACCUACUUAUUCUUAACUACUGUAUUAAACAUUAAUCAACUGGCUGUUAUAAUAUAUUGCGUAUUUGAUACGUCAUAUAGAAGCUUUCGUUCGUGUCACCAAUAUUUUUCGACUGACAUUUCGUAAAAAAAUUCAAAAAAAUUCAAAUACAGCUUUUUAAUAACGAAAACCCUAGUUUAUAUCAAUUUUCCCAUGUGUUCCAAAUAAUUCAAUAACACACAAGAAGAAAAAUACAGACCCUUGUUUUCUAUAGAUGUGUGAACCAAAACCAAAAAGAUAACUUCUAUUUACCGACAUGGAAUCUUGAACCUACAUUAAAUAUGGUAAACCUACCUCGUGUUUCGCAUGAAUCACGUUGAUUAAUCGAUUAGACCAAAGAGGACUUUGAAUAAAUACAUAAUUGUGUAGUUCGUAGUCAUUCACUAAUUAAGAUUCGCUUAUUGAAAAAACAUAUCCAAGUAAAACCAAAUUCGAAUCUUUCUCUCAUUGGAUUUAGAUCAAUACUCAAUUAUUUAUCGUUAGGUUUUGUUUUUGGUGUAUUUAAAGAGUAGACAACGAGAUCAAAGCAUUAAGCUUCUAUCUGUCUCGUCCGUACAUUUAUUUCAUCAUUUUGUAACGUUAUAAUAAACUAUUGUUCUACAGUUCUAGUCUAAGAUGCUUUAAUUGAUUUCCUUUUCUGCUUCAUUGCGAGAUCAAUACUCAAUUAUUUAUCGUUAGGUUUUGUUUUUGGUGUAUUUAAAGAGUAGACAACGAGAUCAAAGCAUUAAGCUUCUAUCUGUCUCGUCCGUACAUUUAUUUCAUCAUUUUGUAACGUUAUAAUAAACUAUUACAGGUCUUAAACGAAUUCACUCAUGGAAGUCAAGAGAAAGUGAGCAAGACAGAGUUCAAAGAAGUGUUGUCAGAUAUUUUGUUGGGCAUGGCUGCUGGUUUAAAACGCGACCCCAUCGUCAUCCUCAGGAUGGACGGUGAGGAUCUGUCGGAGUUUAUCCACAGCCCUGGAUACGAAGCUGAGAUCGUCUCCAUCUACUUCUCAGCGCUGUCUGGCUGCGAGGAAGCAUCGCUCCGUGAUUGCAUCGCCAAAGCUCUCCAGUCACUUUCUGUUGAUCAUGGAAUGCCUCCUUCUAACGAUCCAUGGGUACUUACUUUAGUUUAUAUAUAUUACUUAUUUUUUGAACUAAUUGUGGUUUUAACUUCGAUGUCAAAAAAAAAAAGAACUGUGGUUUAAACUCCUUUUUCAUAUACUUUUAAAUGUACAGCGUAUAUUUAGCAUAAAAAUACUUGAUUCACCCAAAAUCCUAAAUUAAAAUAUAAUAAGCAACGUAUAUUGAGACCAAUGAGCCUGUCUAAAAAGCUAAGUUAUUGUUUCAGGUAAUAAGCAACAUUGUCGAACCGAUCGUUGAAUCUUGUCUUGAUGAGGAAGAUAAGAGAGAGAAGUGUGUGUCCCAGGAGAGAUUCUUGGAAGCAUUCAAGAGAGUCGUAGAGAGAGUGGCUCAACGUCUCAAUGAACAGCCCGUGAUCGUGGCCCACAGCGAAAACACCUUCGAUGGGAGCGGCAUCAGGAGGCUCCUGUCCAAUAAAUUCGAAUUCGACAAGGUAAACUUUCAUACAUAUAUAUGAACAAGAAGAGAAGUCUUGAAAUGAUGAUAUCACAAGCCAUAACCCGGAAUGUUUUGGUUGUACGUAGGCAUUAAACGUUGCGUUGGAGAUAAUCCCAAAAGACCGUCAUGGUAAGGUAUCCAAAGAGUAUCUACGAGCUGUGCUCGACACUGUUGCACCAUCUGCGACUUUACCACCAUUAGGUGCAGUGUCCCAGGUAAACAAUAUAUACCCCAUCUAGAUGUUUUGGAGUUGUCGAUUGUUUUUGUGCGUGUACGUUCAUGUUUGCAUGUUAUGGGCUUCUAUUACUUUUUAAAUUGAAAUCACAACUAAUGUUUAAGUGAAUUUGUGUUACUGGUAGGAGAUGCUUUUUAUCAGUUAUUCUUUUAGACUUUUAGUUGUAAUUGCGGGUCUUCUAACGUGCAAAUGCAUAGAUAAGUUAAAAUUUGUAACGAUAUAAAUGUUUAGUCUUGAGUAGUGUUUUUAUUUCAGCAACAUGUUGAUUAGAUAUUUUGUUGUGUGUUUGUUUGUUUGAAGAUGGAUGAUAUGAUGAGGGAAGCGCUGAAGAUGGUGAAUGGAGAUGAUGGAAAGAUGGUGAAGGAAGAGGAGUUUAAGAAAACAAUGGCGGAGAUAUUGGGAAGUAUAAUGUUGCAGCUUGAGGGUAGUCCGAUAUCGGUCUCCUCUAACUCAGUGGUUCACGAGCCGCUCACCUCCGCCACCUUCCUGCCGGCGGUUCCGGCUGAAGCAGAUGAGCCUUCUAAUUAACUAUAGUCGUUUUAAGUGGGGAGAAACAAGAACAAAAAACGUUAUGGUUAUGAGUUUUUACCCCCCUUUUAAGU